This 272-nucleotide long non-coding RNA is filed under the name Elaeis guineensis (African oil palm). RNAcentral's name for it is "long non-coding RNA (EGUI_LNC024083)". The record is from RNAcentral. Lineage: Eukaryota; Viridiplantae; Streptophyta; Magnoliopsida; Arecales; Arecaceae.
AUAGCCUAGAGGUGGUUGUUUGAGGCUGAAGCUAGGGAGGCUUUCUUGGUGUAGACUAAGGUCUAGGAGGUGAGAUACAACUGAUCAGGAUACCCAUUUAAGACUCGAGCUAAUGUAUGGCUGCAUGUAGAAUCUCGAAAAUGCCCUACUGAGAGAUAAUGACAUUGUUGAUCUUCCUACUGACCCAUGCCGCCUCUCGUGCCAACAUAGAAAAUAGUCUCCACAUUCUCGGAUCUCUAACUCUAAGCACACUCCAAAACCUCAAUCCUCUG